Molecule: long non-coding RNA, 1477 nt
Organism: Neocloeon triangulifer
Lineage: Eukaryota; Metazoa; Arthropoda; Insecta; Ephemeroptera; Baetidae
Exons: 3
Source: RefSeq, a predicted model, not a curated record
UUCAGCACUUUUUCUUUGAAAUUGCAGAGAAAAACUCUACAAAAGUGAACUUUUUCAUUGCAAAGGUUUGAAUUGUGAAUUGAAAAAUAUAUAAUAGUUUGACAAAAUCAUAUCACGUCUAGCAAAAAGCGAUAAAAAAAAAUCGUUAAUUUUAAUUUCACUAUACUGCGAAUAACUUUUUGGAGUUUUAGUCAACUAUUCUUUAGAUAUCUACAUGAAAAUUAAUUCUAAAUUAUAAUUUGCGCGUCCAAAACCCAGUUCAACACUCAAAAUUAGCGUAAAAUAUUUGUCCUUUCAUUAAGAUCUGUUUGAAAUUUAAAUACGUUUUGUUUUGUUUCCGUCAGAGAGAGUGAGUCAAAGUUAGUGUAUGCUUUGCAAGCAGGGUGGAAAAUUUAUGAUAUAUCAGCAACAAGUCCUUGAGCAAAUAAAAAGCACGCGGUUUUUCCUCUCCUAACUCUGCUUAUCAGUGAAAUUUAAUACUCAAUAUGGGACCCUGGCUUGCUACACCACAGCUUUAAUUCGCCAAAGUUUUUCAUUCUUACUUGACAAUUAAUAAGCAUUUGGACUUUAAUUGUGACGCGGCGCCAAAACAACCAUGACCGGAAGAGCCGGACGCUUCUUCUUUAAUUUCGCGCUCAGGUGGUUUUCAGGGGCACGUCUGCAAAACCGGCGAACGGCUUUUCCUGCCUUGGGGUGUGGCCCCGAGUGAGAGUCUCUCUCAGGUCGCUGUCGACCUGAACCUGACGCGCGAUUCUGUUUGCCUCACCUGCGGCGGCCGGUCGCACGAGGAGGACGACGGCCAGGGUGACGAGCACCGCCGAAGGACCCAUGGCGUGCUGAGGGUUGCCUACCCGCCUCCUUCUGCACUCUCGGACGGACGCACGGAGGGCGAAAGACGAACCUGCAAAGGCUGCAAAAGCCGCAAGCAAGACUCGGCGAACGAACGAGAACGAGAACGGCGGCGCGUUGCUAGGAGACGGCGCCGCCACACGGGUGCGCCACCUGCGCCUGAGCAACACUCUAGUUUGCCAAAGCGCCGCCAGGUCACCCCUGAUAUCAGCAGGUACACGAAUUUGCGAAUUAACUUAUAAUUAGGUGCAGGAAAUGAUGUAGAUUUAUUAUAAAUAAAUUUCUUCUGAAAAAGUAAGAGUUUUUGCAUUGCACAUAGGCUUUCUCUUUUAUUUUGUUAUAUAAAUAAAUUUUGCGAUAAUUUUCGCAAAUUUUAUUUUAAUUUCCAAUGAUACAGGACCGCACUUCAAUUGAAUAAUUCAAUUUUACCUGAAUUAAAUUUUUAAUAAUUGCCAUAAUAUAAUGGUGAGUGUAACAUGUCUGGAGGCCUAAUUGUGAUUAAUACUUGAUCACUUUUAAUAAGAAUGUGAAUUUCAAUCAUUUUAAUUAGAAGAAAUAUGAUGUAUUUAAUUUUAUAUUUACGAUUUAUUCUAUAACUUGAACAGAAAAAAAUAUACACAUUUUCCAA